GACGAACGCUGGCGGCGUGCUUAACACAUGCAAGUCGAACGAAGAGCGAUGGAAGCUUGCUUCUAUCAAUCUUAGUGGCGAACGGGUGAGUAACGCGUAAUCAACCUGCCCUUCAGAGGGGGACAACAGUUGGAAACGACUGCUAAUACCGCAUACGAUCUAAUCUCGGCAUCGAGGAUAGAUGAAAGGUGGCCUCUACAUGUAAGCUAUCACUGAAGGAGGGGAUUGCGUCUGAUUAGCUAGUUGGAGGGGUAACGGCCCACCAAGGCGAUGAUCAGUAGCCGGUCUGAGAGGAUGAACGGCCACAUUGGGACUGAGACACGGCCCAGACUCCUACGGGAGGCAGCAGUGGGGAAUCUUCCGCAAUGGACGAAAGUCUGACGGAGUAACGCCGCGUGAGUGAUGACGGCCUUCGGGUUGUAAAGCUCUGUUAAUCGGGACGAAAGGCCUUCUUGCGAAUAGUGAGAAGGAUUGACGGUACCGGAAUAGAAAGCCACGGCUAACUACGUG
Molecule: ribosomal RNA, 510 nt
Filed under: uncultured bacterium
Lineage: Bacteria
Description: partial 16S ribosomal RNA
Rfam family: Bacterial small subunit ribosomal RNA
Source: RNAcentral